Molecule: long non-coding RNA, 1175 nt
Filed under: Marmota monax (woodchuck)
Lineage: Eukaryota; Metazoa; Chordata; Mammalia; Rodentia; Sciuridae
Source: RNAcentral
UAACUGGGGACAUUUCCAAGCUAUCCACAUACAUAUCUAGAACCUUAGGGAGUGAAUGCAUCUGGGGGUUCUGGGGUGCAGCCAAGUGAGGGAACCCUUGAGCUAGCACUCAGACUGCACAAGGCCUCCCAGGUGGAUGGCUCCCUAGGCCCAUGCAACCCAGACCAGCCACCUUAAUCCCAUAACACUAGUUGUCACCAGUUCCACCAAGUUUUCCUAAAAUCCCUCCUGUGCACAGAGCUCCACUGAUUUCGUGCUGAGGAAUUACAGUACUAUGCCCUAGAGGAGGUCCGACCAACACAGAGUGUAUCCCACAGGAGAUGAAUAGCAGGGUCAGGUGUCACAGUCGCAUCACAGGGAAGCACAGGCUACCUACCGGAGAGGAAGAUCUCUCUCAUUGUAAGCCUGAGAGCUUGGGGAAGCCAUGUGCAAGUGGUGAGACUGUGUCUGGGGCAGGAUUUAGCUAGGGCAGAGAGAGCAAGUAGGAGCACUACUCCAUUGGUACAGAAUGGGCACAGUAGGGAGGACAGCAGGAGGCAGAUAAUUUAACUGAAAGGAGAAAAGUCACAUGAGUGAGCAGCUGGGGGUGAGGCUGAAGAGUUAUUCUGUAGACAGGGAGUGGGAGACCUUGAACUGCAGGUUCAGCAGUCUGAGCUUCUGCCAGUUCCUAGAGGUUGGGUUUCCUUUGCUGCUCUCUCACUGGCUAAUGUCCCUAUUAUUUCAACUCCAUGCAGCUCAAAGGACAAAGACAAUUGGGUCUGAGGCUACAUGUAGAAACAAUGGAACACUCCAGCCCCAUCUGGGAGAGCAAGUGGUGAAGGGCCAGAUGAUCAGAGCUCCACCAAGGAUCCCCCUGCCCCAGAGUCCUCCCCAUCUUUGGCCUCUGCUAAUGGGAUGGGCCUGGAGUCUCCAGCUUGCUCAACUAGCAAAGGAAGCUAAGUCACAGUUCAAGGUUUUCAUGGGUCAUUUACCUGACAGAGGAGUAGAGUCCACACUUCCAAAAAUAAGCAAUAGGUUGUUUUUGAUUAAAAAUCAGGCCACAGAAAACCUUUGCCCCAGUCCCACAGACCUGUAUGUCUUGGCUCUGGUCUGGAUAACAAACCCUUUCCCAUUCCAAAAGCAGGUGAAAGGUUGGGUCCAAAGAGCAGGAUCUCAAGCACUCUGGUUGCCCUGAC